Molecule: ribosomal RNA, 252 nt
Filed under: uncultured bacterium
Lineage: Bacteria
Description: partial 16S ribosomal RNA
Rfam family: Bacterial small subunit ribosomal RNA
Source: RNAcentral
CUUUCUUUGCUGGCGACCGGCGCACGGGUGAGUAACACGAUCCAACCUGCCUUUACUCGGGGAUAGCCUUUCGAAAGAAAGAUUAAUACCCGAUAGUAUAAUGAUUCCGCAUGGUUUCAUUAUUAAAGGAUUCCGGUAAAGGAUGGGGAUGCGUUCCAUUAGGUUGUUGGUGAGGUAACGGCUCACCAAGCCUUCGAUGGAUAGGGGUUCUGAGAGGAAGGUCCCCCACAUUGGAACUGAGACACGGUCCAA